This is a long non-coding RNA of Ictidomys tridecemlineatus (thirteen-lined ground squirrel), 2509 nucleotides long. RefSeq lists it as uncharacterized. The record is from RefSeq and is a predicted model, not a curated record. Lineage: Eukaryota; Metazoa; Chordata; Mammalia; Rodentia; Sciuridae.
CCUCUGAAGGUUACAACAAAUCAGCCUCUGAUCCAAUUAAAAUCCCUCCAGUUCAUGUUUCCUCCAAGAAGGACAAAGCACAGAUGACCCACGAGCUUGCUGGAAACACAACCAGUCGGGUGUGGUGCUGGCUGAUAGAUGAAGAGUUAAAAAAGAUUAAAAAUUUAAGUCAUGACUGCCACGAAAUUGUUUAUUCAUGGUACAGUGUUUUGGGCAGUUACAGCUGUACAACAGUAAAUUGUUAACAACCAUUUCCUGAAGAAAAAUUUCCAUUAUAGAUCACAGAGAAGACAAGGAGCAGAGCGCAGCGGGCAGGGAGAUGGGGUUCCGCCGGCAGAGGAUGUGUCAGCUACGAGUCAAGAGGGCCCAUCCUUCCCUGAAAUCACGGGAAACUGAACUGUGAGGACGAUGACAUUUACCCUAAUUGCUGCAUCUAAUUAAAAUUAAGACCAGGACUUAACAAUGCGGAACAUCUGCGCCCUGCCUCUCCCGAGCAUGCCUACGUGGGACGUGCUGCUCAAGUCAGUCUUCUCCCCAGCGGGAACCGGCUGGUGAAUCAGCAAAAUGAUGAGGUGUGCCUCAGGGUCUCUGUCGGAGAUGUGGUGAAGCCCACAGGGAAGGCUCCAGAGCAGGAAGGAACGCUGGACGGGACAUCAGCACCUAGAGUGCCAGCCUUGCCUCCACAGUUGGCCGUCCAGCAUCUGGCCUCAGACUUGUCACUACAGAAACAGAUAGGGCACUAGGCUAAAUUACUGCUAAGGUCUAAGGGAUUUUGGAAGCUUCCAUUCUAUAGAUGACUUGAAAGUGAAGUCACACCUCAAAUGCCAAUUGCUGAAUCUUUGUCCUGGAAAGGAUCCCUCAUAUGGCAGGUAAUGGCUUCAGAAUAAUUAUUUACCUCCUCUCCAAAAUCUGUAUGUGGAAACCCAAUGUGUGACAGUGUUUGGAGGUGGGGCCUUUGGAGGUGAUCAGGUUGCGAGGGCAGAGACCUCAGGGAUGAGAUAGAUUAGUGCUCUCAUAAAAAAGCCGGCACGUUCCCUUGCUCCUUUCCCCACAGGAGGACACAGUAGGCUGUCUAUGAACCAGGAAAUGUGCCCUCACCAGACACCAAAGCUGCCAAUGCCUGGAUUUUGCACUUCCCAGAAUCCAAAACCAUGAGAAACCAAUUCCCACUACUUCUCAGCCACCCAGUUCAUGGUAUUUGGUGAUACAGCCCAAGCUGACCAAGACAAUGCCCACUGUACAACACUGCUUGAGCAUCCAGCGCAGCUCACGGUGCCUGGAAUGUCAAGGCAUCAAAGCCUGUCCACAGAAUGAAUCCAGGAGACCUUCCAUGGAGCUCACUGACACAAGCUAACCCCCCACAGCAACCCCUGGUGAACACAGUCCUCAACCUGGGGACCAGCAGAGCAAUUAUUAACACUGUCUAACAUUACAUGGAAGCAUCAGAAAUGUCUUAAGAUUGCCCUUCAAGAAGUCGGCAUUAAAAUUAUUCACUGAUUUAUUUCUAUGAGAAUUAUCAAGCAAGAAAGAACCUAGUCAGACAUGCUCUCAGGAGAGAGAUUACCAGCAGGAUGAAAAUAACGUGAAGCAGCAGCGGAUUUCCCAUGAAUAUCACUCAAGCAGACUAACUACAUUUGUCUCUUACCUCUGGAAAUCUAGAGUCAAACAGAACAACUAUUAAGAGGAAAUUUUGGUUUAAUGAACAUAGCCUUGUCCACAGGCACAUCAAAAAUCUUUUACAUUAAAGCUAUUGCACACUUGAUGGCAAAGACAAAGUAUGAAAUGGUUUUGGAAGUCAUGACUCAAAUUCACUUAUAAGGAACAUUUACCAAGUGCCUAAUGAGCAACAGGAACCUGCUUGGCACUCUGACAGCUUCUCUGAUCCUCUCACUAACACUGAGAGCCAACUAUCUGUGCAGGUGAGGGGAGGCACCGCGCUUUACCUAAGAAGGGAUGCUGGGAGUCAGACCUAGCUUGUCUGCUUAGGUCUAAUGCACUUCCAACCAAUAGGAAAUGCUCUUUAUUCCUCUUUAAGGAACUGGAAUAUAGCAGUGGACAAAACAGACAAGCUUCCCUGUCCUCAGGCCAUCCCAGUGUGCUUUCCACCACGGUUCACUGCCUCCCCUGGUCAGAUCCACUGGGCCAUCUGCUAGUGGAAUGAUGUCUAGAUCAACACAUUCAAAUCUGUCUGGCCUUGCCUCAAUAAGGGCUUCCAAAAUCAGUUCCUGAAAAUUAAUGCUGCUAAUGUCUGAACAGAUACAUCAUUAUGAAUUCUAGUACUAAUAAAAGCAAAUAGGACAAUUAAGGAUUUGCCCAAGGUUUGUUAACAGAUAAAAACUGGAUUUUCAAAUGAGUAAAGAGCAGCGUGUGUUUCAAGAUGGAAGAUAAUUAGAAUGGAAAUAGAACACCAGACGUGACAGCACACAUCAGCAGAGACAGACAGGGGAGGAGCGUAAACAGCCCCCUCCCCGAGUCAGCCUUCUACUGAGGAUAGAUCUGAAAGGAUAUC